GCAGAAGGACGACCUUCCCCUCGUCGAGGGUAUCCGUUCCGGGACGGCCCGG
Molecule: non-coding RNA, 52 nt
Filed under: Massilia sp.
Lineage: Bacteria; Pseudomonadati; Pseudomonadota; Betaproteobacteria; Burkholderiales; Oxalobacteraceae
Also listed under: 1 other name
Description: Guanidine-II sequence
Rfam family: Guanidine-II riboswitch aptamer (mini-ykkC)
About the family: Simpler in structure and has fewer highly conserved nucleotide positions than the ykkC-yxkD leader. Despite this each of its two stem-loop structures directly bind free guanidine. Therefore, mini-ykkC RNA motif represents a distinct class of guanidine-sensing RNAs.
Source: RNAcentral